Molecule: ribosomal RNA, 229 nt
Filed under: uncultured bacterium
Lineage: Bacteria
Description: partial 16S ribosomal RNA
Rfam family: Bacterial small subunit ribosomal RNA
Source: RNAcentral
UCCGUAGGCGGGCGUCUAAGUCAGGGGUGAAAUCUUACAGCUCAACUGUAAAAUUGCCAUUGAUACUGGAUGUCUUGAAUUAGUGUGAAGUGGUUAGAAUGUGUAGUGUAGCGGUGAAAUGCAUAGAUAUUACACAGAAUACCAAUUGCGAAGGCAGAUCACUAACACUAUAUUGACGCUGAGGGACGAAAGCGUGGGGAGCGAACAGGAUUAGAUACCCUGGUAGUCC